GGCAACCUGCGAAAGAGUGAAGAUCUACACUGAACAAAUAUAUGGACACCAAGCGGUGAAAUUACAUCUUUGGGCAGUUGGCUCCUACCAUGCCAGCCUGCCGGGGGAUAACGAGUUACAGGGGAAAGAGAUGGAAGGGAGAGCUGGGAAGGAGGUUGGCAUUCCAAAGGACGCAGUCUGACAGCAAAAGGGGGAGGGAACUGUCGCCGAGCUUGAUUCGGCAGGGGGAGGGACUUAGCUCCGAGCGGGGCCAUCGUCGGGUGUGUGUGGGGGCGGGGGAGGGAAGGAUGAGGCCUGCCAGAGACGCGGGGGUAACGAUAUGACUAGGGGGUGGGGUCGCCUGUGAAGGUCGCAAACUGAGGCUCAGCAGUCAGAACGGUUGGCGGGCCUACUGUCUGGUCGUUAAUGGGGAAGGAAGGAAUGUGGAGGGAGGGGGAAAGAAGGGGAUUUUUUUUUUUAAGGGUUCAAAACGUAUCAGCUGCGAGCCGGGGAGGGAGGUGAGAGACAGCGAAGGAAAGAUCGGAGGGAGAGAAUGGAGCAUGCGAAAGCAGGGUGGAGCGGGGGUCAGAGAGAAGGAGGAGGAGGGUGGUGCUGUAGACUUUUGGGAGGGGGGGGAGGGAAGGAAGCGAAGGCACAGCCUCUGACAAGCGCUAACUUGGACGAGGAAGGCCGGGAAAGAAAGAGCGAGAGAGAAAAGAGAAUGGCGGGGAAUGAGUCCGGAGGUGGGGGUUGCCUCGGGUUGGGGUAAAGUUUGCGCAUGCGAGAAGUUUCCGCCCCUACCCGUCAGCCAAUCACGUGUCAGCCUCGCAGCAUCUCCGCCCGCGUCGAGCUGUCGAGGCGCGUGACACCCCUCCGCGCGUGUAAACCUCCCCCCUUCCCCCGACCUGCUUGCCCGCUGUCUCUCGUCACUUCACCAGCUCCACUUUUCCUCCCGCCAUUCUUGUCUGCGUACUCACUCCCGCGUAGGUCUGACUUCUUCACCCUCCUUCUUGUGAACACCGAAGGCUUAUUUUUUUUGUGUGCAUGUUGGUGCUUUCUUCUCUCACUGCCAAGCUCCACGACGACGCACAGCCGGCAUUUUUAUUCCUCUGCGCUGCUCGCAGGCAUCUCUGCCGAACGAACAUCUCCAGGAAAAAGGAAACACGAGGGUGCGGAAAAUUGCUGCUAACGACAUCAAAAUCAAGUAAGUUCUGCUGCCUGUCAUGUCUGUCUGUCUGCAUGUCUGUCCGCCUGCAGGUGUGCUUGAGUAAUGUCAUUAUAUCUAUUUUUUUGCAAAUGAAUUUAGUUUUAUUAUUGGAUUCUCAUUCCGGAAGUCUCCGCCCCGAGACCCAGACCUCGAAGCAUUUUCACCUGUACUCAGUUAUAGGUUAAACAAAAUCUUUAACGCCAUUUUGGUACAUUUUCGUCGCCAUGGUGACAGACACCUUGGUCCGUAGUUUAUACAACAAAGGUAAGGUUAACCCCGCGACAUGUGACUCCACACCGGCACAGGUCAGUCGGUUUAGUAGGAAAGUGCUUCUACCCUGAGGCCACUUCCCAUCUGGAGAAGAGGGAGAUGGAGGAGAGGGGGAAACAGAAUUACCUGGCGGAAACACCUGAUGACCAAACCUGCGAACAGGUGGCACAGGAGGUAGACUUAUAAUCUCGAGGUCCCUGUCCUGUGCAUGCUCAGUGUUGUGUCCAUGUUGUAUGUAUUGUAGCAUCAGACUGAAGAAGGUUCAGAUGUACCCUUGGCUCAGAACUAAUAUUAAUCAUAUUAAUUGUGUUAAUUAGUUGUAUUCAGUGUAGGAUAUCACAGACUUUGUCGCCUUCAGAGCUCGUCUGUAUUUCUGAAGGUGUGUAUUUACAGACAGAAGGAAUGUGAUCCUUCAUAUUUUAAUGUAAUGAAUUCAAACAACUAAUUUUUUUUUAAAAGAAGGCGCUAUCAUCUUUAACUUAUUUAAGCUAUAUGUAUCUUUGGCUGACCGCCAUGUCUGCUGAAUUUCAAAAGUGCAUCUUGUGUGCCAGACAACAAAAGUACAUCAGUCAUUACAUACAAAGAUAAUGUAACAAUUCUUUUAAUGCACUUUAACUUUCUUCGUCCAUCUCACCUUCCCAUGGGAUUAAUUACAUGCGAUCUUUGUGUCUUACAUAUAAAGUAGAAAGGUCAACAUAUCAUGUGACCCGAUGCGCUAAAAAAAAAGAGGUUAAGGCCAGCUUUUUCUGUUUCUUGUGAGGGCGGCCAUACCCUGUCCCUCACUGACUGACUGUCCCCACCCGUCUACAUAGUCAGGUGCAAAUUCCACAGAUGGAAAAAAAAGUAUGAUGCGUCUCAUGGGUAUGGAAAGGCUUGGGGUGCCCCUCCUACAGGUUCGAACUCUGUUCCUGUGAAACUGUUCGCUCGCCCUUGUAUAUGAGAACCUAAUUCUUAACCAUCCACCCUUCGGUUGGUGGGUUAAUCAUAUGCAGCGCCGACACCCUACAUAAAGUACAAGCUAAGAGCUAUAUUUACCUUCGGCAGGCGUUCAUGGAUAAGUAUGUCUAUGUUUGUUCUUCUUUCCCUUUCUCUUGUACUCAUGUCUCAAAGGACAGAUUUGCUUCACGAUAUCAUUCUUCAAUUUUCUGGAUUUCAUUUGCAAGCAAUCACUCUCCAAUCAUGUUUCGAACUUCGGAAACAUUUCAACCAGUUUGUCUUGGUCCGCUGCCCCAUUUCAUAAAGUCUAUGAUUUACCUUGUCCUAGAAAAAAACAGAGAGACUAGAAUUAAGGUCACGUGAGACUGCUACCUGGUUCGCCCCGCAUUAUUGAUUGCUACCCUGGGUACGUCGAUUAAUAGAGUCUGGCACAUUUCCGGAACCGUCUCGACGUUACAGGCUUGGGUAUCGACAGAUGAAGGAGACCGCCCGCCAGUCAACCUCCACUGCCAACAUCGUCAACUCCACUUUUUUUUCUCUCUCUCUUUUUCGUUUUUAUUUUUUUUAUAUUUUUUUUUCUUGACCGAGAAAAGCGUCUGGCACGGAGACUGACCGUCUUUCAGUGUCUGCCGGUCGGUGCGCGACAGCUGUUGUCUGUCUUCAGCGAGACUAAUCGAAUCUGUAGAUCGUGAAGUCACAUGAGGUACACCUGCUGCUAGGCCAAUGUGGAGAGUGUGGCGAGGGUUCGUGAAAUGUCUCAGUCAGCAAUUUUCCUCCUUCUUUCCUUUUUUUGGGGGGUUGGGAAUAGGUUCUUUCCCUCUCCCAUUGAGGUUGUAAGAGGGUUGUGUAAAAUGUCUAGCAUUUGUCUCCUGCGUAUAUAGCAUACUGCACGUUCAUCUAACACAGAUGGAACAACAUUGUAUUACAAACAGACGACAGAAACCUCGACCACAAAAUCCUCCUGGCUCUAAGAGUUUAAGGGUCGGCAGCAACAGCGCCAGACGAUAUGCUGACCAUCCUCACACUCCUCCCCCACGACAUUCCUCACCUGCCUCACGUGCUUUUACAAGCUAUGACAUUAUUUGUGUGUGUAGGGGAGAGGUGGGAAGGGGCGCGACAGUAGGUACCAUCAUCGCCGACGACCGAGCAUCCCAGGUUUCUUUUGCACACGGCACGAGCCGACUCCGCGAAGCCGAGUUCACUUGGCGCCAAAGAGCGGAACUCGUGCUCACAGACUAGUUGGGGCUGAGCCGCCUUUCUCGUGUGACAUGUGAAAGUGUCGUGGAUAGGGGCUAGGUUGUGUUGAAUAGCACUAACACGUGUGUGUGUUUGUGUGUUUGUGUGUUUGUGUGUUUGUGUGUGUGUUUUAAAGGUGCUGAGUUCUCAGAGCUUUUUGUUCUACAGGCUGGAGUACUUUAAAAAAAACUUUUAUCUAAUGCCUUUUAUCUCAUACUGAUAACUGUUGGAAAGGAGGGACAAAUUGGAGGCAAGAUGGUCGCCAAGGCAGCCACACCAUGACAUGUCUUGACUGCAGGGAUUGUUUUGUUUGUUUGUUUUGGAUUUUUUUUUAAACCCACGACAACUCUCGUUUACAAUGGUUAUUAUCUUUCUUCUUUCGCAAGGUGGAAUCUUGGAUCCGGGACUGGUUGUUAACACUAGCUAAUCCUUUUCUUUCUUUGUUUUAUUUUUAGUUUUGGCAUUCACUUUCCGCGGGUACCUUGCAUGGCACAGCCACGCUCUGUCCGCCAGCAAAACAGGAGUCGCGCCGUUUUGCACACGACACUCUGUACUGCAUGCGCUCUGACGUCACGCGCAUAAUACUUCUCCGUCAGAUGUGUACCGUUAUACUCUCGUUUCUUCAUCGGGUACUAACGCGAAAAAACUGAGCGAGCACACACAACAAUUUUAAAUUUGUUGUUUGCUUAUUAGAGAAAAUGGGGAGAUGUUGAUGCUUUGUUGAAGUUUCAUCGCCAUCUGAUCAAACAUAUAAAGUAUCAAUAAUAAAACGGGUGAAAAAGUGAGAGACCGAACAAAGCGAUGGAGAGAUGAACGUGUUGAGGCGUGCGAGGGUGUGCAUGGCCUGGUUAUCAUGCUUACGUCAUUGGACUUGAACGGUGAACUAAGCAGUCGCACUACAAGAGACGCCGCAACCCGGCAUGUCUGGAAAUUGAUCAGAAGCCAGCUGCUGAUACCUCCAUCCACACACCCAGCAGCUCCUCCACCUCCACCCUCAACCGUGCACGGAGUGUAGUGUGCGAGUGGGUGUGGCACGAGGUCGACAUCUAACGGCAUACGGCCACGCCGCACACACACACACAACACGACACCAUUAAUUCUACCCACCACACCACCACCACCUCUCCGCCACGACCCCGACUACAGUGUUGAUCGUGGACGUGAAUCUUUUGUUUGAGCGUUUGCGAGUGUGGAUGCGCGUUGCUGAGUGGGAGACAUGUUUGUUAUGCUGGCCGGCUGCACGGUUACUUUUGAUGGGGGCGUUAGGGGGAGAAUUUUUUUUUUUGGUCGUUGCGCUUCGGUUGUGGUUGUUGUUGUUGCUGUUUCUGGUGCAGCAGUGCUCGGAGCCUCUUUCGGACCGAAAAGCCGGUUCUCCUGCACCCGCCCUUGGAGCACGUCAUUGACCUGUGUCAUCCCGGGUGGGGUUCUCUACUUCCAGUUUUGAGACCACUGUCCCCUCUACUCACUUACCUACCCACCCACCCUGUUACUGUUGUCGUACGAAAUGACAAAUGCCACCCGUCAUACACCUAUACUCAUUACAAUCCUAGGCGCUUUUUGUCUCUCGUCGAAGUCGAGACUGUCACGCGCAGGUGAAUCCAUGUCACGCUCGGGGUCACAGGUCUGUCGGGUACUUUCUGGCUUUGUGCUGUGAUUCCACAUUUCCGAUCAAACUGCGGCGCGGAGAAGUUUUCCACAAAAUGAAGACGGUAUAGACUUCUAUCAUUUUCUCUCCUCACGUUAAAAAAAAAAAAAAAAAAAAGGAGCUCAAAGGUUGUCAUGGUAACAAGAUGCUGGUCUAAGAACGGCUUUUGAACGAAGGAGAAGAAAGAAACAAUGGCGGAACGAACUAUCGAACGAGUUAAUGAAUGGAAGAAACAAACAAACGAGACAGAAAGUCUGGGACACAAUCCCUGUGGAUUGGAAUUAUUACAACCAGGAGUUGUCACCGAAAAGGUCGGCGACAUCAUCGACGACUGAUCAACAUGAUAUCGACCCAACUGUUUCUUGGAUUCUCGUCUGCACUUAUAUGUCAAGGUAUUCCAGUUCACACCUGUAAUUGGGGAAACAUGAAAAGUGAAGAAUUGACGGGACAUUCUAGAAACAAUGGAAGGAAUAAAACCUUACAGAUUGCAGAAACCCGGAUGUCAGGUACAUUUCCUAGACCAUGAUGCACACGGUGUAGGAUGUUAAGUCUAUGUGACACACACCCAUGACACAUCCAUGUACCUAACGCUCGUCACGACGAGGGCUGUGACGUGCAGUCGCGGGGACACGUGACGUGACGGUUCCAAUGCGAGGGCGAAAGUGAUCUCAGUCUGCCAAGAAUAGAAUAAAUUGGAUGUGGACAUGAUCAGAACCGUUUGGCUGAUGUACGCUAGCCAACAAAUUGGAUAAACACUAGAACAAAGCAAAACAAAAUUACGGAGGCUAAGAAUAAAAUGAGAGUGCUCCAGAAACCCAUUAACCCUUUGCCUGCUGAUGAGUUUAGAACCCUGGCGAUUUCAAUCACACUCGGAAACUUCAAACAGUAUUUUUGUUCAGUCUUUAAAAAAAACAAACAACUAUAUAUACAAGUUGUGAUGCUUGCUUCCUUGCGCAAAGAGUGUGUAAAAAUAGAUAACGGGAUUACACUGAGGAGUAAAGAGUAACCUAGGAUGAGCCACUUCAGUCAUGACUUUGUCACUGUCAGUGCACCCGAGCAGACAUCUGUCACUGACAUGUUGUGCUGGCAAGCAUACGCAGGGAUAGGACGAAGGGUCAAAGGGUAAGGGAGGAAAAGUUCUCGUCCAUCAAAAGCACCCUGACCUAACUGACCUACUGGCCGAGCCUCAGGACCAGUCACACAAGUACAGUCUGUGGUGGUAUAAAGGACAAAUGUAGAUGAUGUGCCAGCUCUUCUGUCUUUCAAACAAAACUGUCGAGCCAGAUUCGCACCGGUUGUCGAAAGGAGGGGUGGGGUUACCACUGCCAUACAUCGAUUGAUGCGAAGGGCGUCGUCAGACGAUGGUGCACCCUGUCAGUCGUACCCCAUUAAGUAUUGCAGACAUUUACAGGAACAUAAACAACUGCCGAGACUGACUUGUAAAUCAGUGUAGUUGUACAGCUGUAAACUUUUACAGUCGUCUCUCAGCUCCCUCCUCACCCUUACCCACCUACCACCCACCCGCUUCCUUCACCACCCAGGACUUGCAGGCGGCUUAGUCUGAGUCUUUGUAAGUAAAUUAUUAUGUACAUCUAGACAAAAAUUUUAAAAAAAUUCCUCCUCCACCAGCACCACCACCACCAACAGCCCCACCAUCACCAUCAUCACCCAAAAUAAUAUUAUAUACAAGCCCUACUUUUCGACACUAAAUUCUGCUCUAAAAGCUAAGAGAAAUUUUUUAAAAGCUUCAAAAUACUUUCUUAAUCUUAAUAUAAAUUUGUGCGGUUUCAUGUUUUGAUAAAAAAAAAUCCUCCUCCUCCUCCUCCUCAUCAUCAUCAUCAUCAUCAAUAGUAAGUAUGUAUUAGACAUCUCCAUCAUUCUAUGUUGGAAUGUUCUCUUUGUGCUGAAUGUUGAAUUUGAUCAGCUGCUAUAAAUCAUCGUCGUCGUUGUCGUCGUCCUCGAGGUCAUCAUCAGUACUCCCUGCUACUGCUACUCGAUGAGGAUUCGGUUCCAAAGUUUUACUUUCAUCGUUAUGAGAAUUAUUUAUCGCCAAAAGGAACAAUUGAAACAUUUUGUUUUUUUCUGCGACUUAAAAUGAACUACAGUAAACAACCGGCUCCCUACUUCUUUUCCUUUAGCAUCAAUAAUAAUAAUGAUGAUGAUAAGAAGAAAAGAGAAAAACAAACAAAAAAAAGUUUCUCUGCCACGGCUAUGUGUGCAUGGAUCUGUGGCGAAUGAGAUAUAUGCACUUUCUGCACUUGAACUAUGACCUUCGAGCAAAUAAGUAACAGAUCCAGGGAUCCAUCCCUCAUUUUAUUUUACCUUCUCUCUCUCACACACACACCCACACAUCCCUUGUUAUUUUUCUACCUGCUUUUCUAUUCUAGCGACUUACUUUUCAGACCGACAGACAGCAGCUCGCUUCAAAUAGUCAUCAGCCAUCAGACAUUUUUAUUCAUCUACGGGUAUGGAGAAGGUGGCAGACACAGCCAGCAGCCCACCCAGACUACACCCGCAUUUUAAAGACCUGGUUGAUGAUUGUCAACAGCUUCUUUUGCACAUUUGUCUUCGCGAGAGAUAAAGUAACGGUCUCCUGGCCCUCCAGCUCACCCUGUGUUUUGUUAUCUUCAACAUUUCCAACAUUAUCUACUGCAACGAUAAACACACCUUCUACCUUCACUGGCAAUGAACAUCAUCUACCUACAAUUUCUUACUUUCAUUGACACGACGGGUGUGUGGGGUGGAGAGAGAGAGAGAUAGACAGACAGUUCCGUGUGUAAUUUAAAAAUGAAGCUUUCUUUGGUUUUGUUGAUGUUGAAGCAGUUCAGCUCGAGCCCACACACAACGAGGGCGCAGCCAUGUUGUCUACAUGCUCGUCUCCUAUUAAGAUAAUAAACCUGCGAUAAACAUAUGCUAACACGAUUGAUGGCUUUGUUUAAAGUUUGCCUCCUUUCUUGUAUUAUUUGUCCAGUAAUUAAUUUAUUUGUUUAUUUAUUUGUCUCUAUUUUGACCCCCGUACCUUUGAAAUGGUUUUGUGUGUGUGUGUGUGUGUGCAUCAAGCAGGUGCAAAAAUAAAACCUUGUUUGCCAGACUUUGUGCAUGUGAACAAGGGAGGAAUAAUCUCUCUUUCUCUCUCUCCCUCACUGGCUGUACAGCAGCGAUAACGCUCGCGGCCCUGCACACUGGCGGCGCGACAGCCAACACCUGCGUGAGUCAUUCGAGACGGUAGGAGGACAACAGUUAUUAACGAAACAGUCCAGGUCCAAUUCUUCACGACCUCUGACCUAUCAGGACGCGGUGGUUACGUGAAUUCGUCUGCUCUUUCCGUGGCUGGCGUGAGAUAAAGUCUGUGAAACUGAUAAUUUAUAAAAGCGCGUGCUGGCAGCUCCAGCCCACCCCACCCUGCUCCCCCUUUCUCCCCCCGACCUCACCUCCAGGGCAAAACCUCGCGCCCCCUUUUGCUGCCUGCGAACGGCUGUUCCAAUUUCCUCCCCCCACCAUACCCCAGACUGUAGCUGUCUCGCGCCCACGCCAUCUACUCAUGAAUAUUCACACCCUCGCUUAGCCCCGCCCCCUUGUGCGUCUAUGGCUGGCGGUGUAGACUCAAGUUUGCUCCCCCGUGCCGUACAACAAAAAAAGGUUUGAGGACCAGACACGGGCAUAAAGGCGUUUUAUUGAAUACAUCCUUUUCUUCUUUCCCUAAUUUCAGAGAUGGCUUGCAAAAGUGUACUUUAUCGACCAUGCCGAGAGUUAUCUGCACAAAUCGCUGAGGUGCUUUUAAGGAGAGAGAAAGA
This is a long non-coding RNA of Pomacea canaliculata, 9067 nucleotides long. RefSeq lists it as uncharacterized. The transcript is spliced from 2 exons. The record is from RefSeq and is a predicted model, not a curated record. NCBI's taxonomy places the organism in Eukaryota, Metazoa, Mollusca, Gastropoda, Architaenioglossa, Ampullariidae.